Molecule: non-coding RNA, 23 nt
Filed under: Arabidopsis thaliana (thale cress)
Lineage: Eukaryota; Viridiplantae; Streptophyta; Magnoliopsida; Brassicales; Brassicaceae
Source: RNAcentral
UCGUGUAAUUCCCUGGUUCCACA